AAAAACCUUAUCAAUGCUACAUUAAUUGAGAUAUUUUAUACAUAGACAAAACAACAAGUUAAAUGCUAAUGACAUACAAUAGAAACUCAUACGAUUUGUAAGCAUGUUGCUAUGUCAUAUAUUAACCAUAGUAGUUGAUUAGAAGGCUUAAACAUGAGUGGUAACACUAAACAAUAACAAAUUUAGAUACAAAGUACGUGACACUUAAAUACUUUUAUUUUUUAAGCUUAUGACAAGGACAGA
RNAcentral lists this long non-coding RNA (243 nucleotides) under Solanum tuberosum (potato). Its description in RNAcentral is "long non-coding RNA (STUB_LNC011092)". Lineage: Eukaryota; Viridiplantae; Streptophyta; Magnoliopsida; Solanales; Solanaceae. The record is from RNAcentral.